This 274-nucleotide ribosomal RNA is filed under the name uncultured bacterium. Its description in RNAcentral is "partial 16S ribosomal RNA". It matches the Rfam family "Bacterial small subunit ribosomal RNA", at positions 523 to 796 of the family's 1533-position model. The record is from RNAcentral.
AUACGGAGGGUGCAAGCGUUGUUCGGAUUUAUUGGGCGUAAAGCGAGUGUAGGCGGUUUGACAAGUCGAAUGUGAAAUCCCGAGGCCCAACCUCGGAACUGCAUCCGAAACUGUCAGGCUAGAGUCCCGGAGAGGGUGGCGGAAUUCCCGGUGUAGGGGUGAAAUCCGUAGAUAUCGGGAGGAACACCAGUGGCGAAGGCGGCAACCUGGACGGUGACUGACGCUGAGACUCGAAAGUGUGGGUAGCAAACAGGAUUAGAAACCCCGGUAGUCC